RNAcentral lists this ribosomal RNA (117 nucleotides) under Bacillus glycinifermentans. Lineage: Bacteria; Bacillati; Bacillota; Bacilli; Caryophanales; Bacillaceae. The record is from RNAcentral.
GUCUGGUGAUGAUGGCGAAGAGGUCACACCCGUUCCCAUGCCGAACACGGAAGUUAAGCUCUUCAGCGCCGAUGGUAGUUGGGGGUUUCCCCCUGCGAGAGUAGGACGUCGCCAGGC